RNAcentral lists this ribosomal RNA (447 nucleotides) under uncultured bacterium. RNAcentral's name for it is "partial 16S ribosomal RNA". It matches the Rfam family "Bacterial small subunit ribosomal RNA", at positions 331 to 793 of the family's 1533-position model. The record is from RNAcentral.
CCAGACUCCUACGGGAGGCAGCAGUGGGGAAUAUUGCACAAUGGGGGGAACCCUGAUGCAGCGACGCCGCGUGGGCGAGGAAGUAUUUCGGUAUGUAAAGCCCUAUCGGCAGGGAAGAAGAAAUGACGGUACCUGAAUAAGAAGCACCGGCUAAAUACGUGCCAGCAGCCGCGGUAAUACGUAUGGUGCAAGCGUUAUCCGGAUUUACUGGGCGUAAAGGGAGCGCAGACGGCGGUGCAAGCCAGAUGUGAAAGCCCGGGGCUCAACCCCGGGACUGCAUUUGGAACUGUGCUGCUAGAGUGUCGGAGAGGUAGGCGGAAUUCCUAGUGUAGCGGUGAAAUGCGUAGAUAUUAGGAAGAACACCAGUGGCGAAGGCGGCUUACUGGACAGUAACUGACGUUGAGGCUCGAAAGCGUGGGGAGCAAACAGGAUUAGAUACCCCCGUAC